This 497-nucleotide ribosomal RNA is filed under the name uncultured bacterium. Its description in RNAcentral is "partial 16S ribosomal RNA". It matches the Rfam family "Bacterial small subunit ribosomal RNA", at positions 28 to 507 of the family's 1533-position model. The record is from RNAcentral.
GAUGAACGCUGGCGGCGUGCCUAAUACAUGCAAGUCGAGCGAACGGACGAGAAGCUUGCUUCUCUGAUGUUAGCGGCGGACGGGUGAGUAACACGUGGAUAACCUACCUAUAAGACUGGGAUAACUUCGGGAAACCGUAGCUAAUACCGGAUAAUAUUUUGAACCGCAUGGUUCAAAAGUGAAAGACGGUCUUGCUGUCACUUAUAGAUGGAUCCGCGCUGCAUUAGCUAGUUGGUAAGGUAACGGCUUACCAAGGCAACGAUGCAUAGCCGACCUGAGAGGGUGAUCGGCCAAACUGGAACUGAGACACGGUCCAGACUCCUACGGGAGGCAGCAGUAGGGAAUCUUACGCAAUGGGCGAAAGCCUGACGGAGCAACGCCGCGUGAGUGAUGAAGGUCUUCGGAUCGUAAAACUCUGUUAUUAGGGAAGAACAUAUGUGUAAGUAACUGUGCACAUCUUGACGGUACCUAAUCAGAAAGCCACGGCUAACUACGUG